Molecule: ribosomal RNA, 460 nt
Filed under: Escherichia coli
Lineage: Bacteria; Pseudomonadati; Pseudomonadota; Gammaproteobacteria; Enterobacterales; Enterobacteriaceae
Description: bacterial SSU rRNA
Rfam family: Bacterial small subunit ribosomal RNA
Source: RNAcentral
AUAACUACUGGAAACGGUAGCUAAUACCGCAUAACGUCGCAAGACCAAAGAGGGGGACCUUCGGGCCUCUUGCCAUCGGAUGUGCCCAGAUGGGAUUAGCUAGUAGGUGGGGUAAAGGCUCACCUAGGCGACGAUCCCUAGCUGGUCUGAGAGGAUGACCAGCCACACUGGAACUGAGACACGGUCCAGACUCCUACGGGAGGCAGCAGUGGGGAAUAUUGCACAAUGGGCGCAAGCCUGAUGCAGCCAUGCCGCGUGUAUGAAGAAGGCCUUCGGGUUGUAAAGUACUUUCAGCGGGGAGGAAGGGAGUAAAGUUAAUACCUUUGCUCAUUGACGUUACCCGCAGAAGAAGCACCGGCUAACUCCGUGCCAGCAGCCGCGGUAAUACGGAGGGUGCAAGCGUUAAUCGGAAUUACUGGGCGUAAAGCGCACGCAGGCGGUUUGUUAAGUCAGAUGUGAA